AGCUACGGCCGUGUGGCGCGUUGGUACACCCGAUCCCUUGAUCUCGGAAGUUAAGCAACGUGCGGUCUGGACAGUACAAAUGUACUUGGAUGGGACGUCUGGAUUGCUGUAGCCU
Molecule: ribosomal RNA, 115 nt
Filed under: Branchiostoma floridae (Florida lancelet)
Lineage: Eukaryota; Metazoa; Chordata; Leptocardii; Amphioxiformes; Branchiostomatidae
Source: RNAcentral